GCUGGGUGCGGUGGUGCGCACCUGUAAUCCCAGCUACUCAGGAGGCUGAGGCAGGAGAAUUGCUUGAACCUGGGAGGUGAAGGUUGCAGUUUGCAAAGAUCGUGCCACUGCACUCCAGCCUGGGCAACAGAGCAAGACUCUGUCUCAA
This is an unclassified non-coding RNA of Pongo abelii (Sumatran orangutan), 148 nucleotides long. It matches the Rfam family "Metazoan signal recognition particle RNA". Rfam says of the family: The signal recognition particle (SRP) is a universally conserved ribonucleoprotein. It is involved in the co-translational targeting of proteins to membranes. The eukaryotic SRP consists of a 300-nucleotide 7S RNA and six proteins: SRPs 72, 68, 54, 19, 14, and 9. The record is from Ensembl. NCBI's taxonomy places the organism in Eukaryota, Metazoa, Chordata, Mammalia, Primates, Hominidae.